AGAGUUUGAUCCUGGCUCAGAAUGAACGCUGGCGGCGUGCUUAACACAUGCAAGUCGCACGAGAACGCUUCAGCUUGCUGAAGUAAGUAAAGUGGCGCACGGGUGAGUAACGCGUGGGUAAUCUACCCUUGAAUUGGGGAUAACCCGCCGAAAGGCGGGCUAAUACCGAAUGACAUCUUGAAAACUUAUGUUUUCAGGAUCAAAGGUGGCCUCUACAUGUAAGCUAUUGUUUGGGGAUGAGCCCGCGUACCAUUAGCUUGUUGGUAGGGUAAUGGCCUACCAAGGCUACGAUGGUUAGCUGGUCUGAGAGGAUGAUCAGCCACACUGGAACUGACACACGGUCCAGACUCCUACGGGAGGCAGCAGUGAGGAAUUUUGCGCAAUGGGGGAAACCCUGACGCAGCAACGCCGCGUGAGUGAUGAAGGCCUUCGGGUCGUAAAGCUCUGUCAAGUGGGAAGAACUCAUAUGGUGUUAAUACUGCCAUAUGUUGACGGUACCACUGAAGGAAGCACCGGCUAACUCCGUGCCAGCAGCCGCGGUAAUACGGGGGGUGCGAGCGUUAUUCGGAAUCAUUGGGCGUAAAGAGCGCGUAGGCGGUCCAAUAAGUCAGAUGUGAAAGCCCGGGGCUUAACCCCGGAAGUGCAUUUGAAACUAUUGGACUUGAGUAUGGGAGAAGGAAGUGG
RNAcentral lists this ribosomal RNA (684 nucleotides) under uncultured delta proteobacterium. Its description in RNAcentral is "bacterial SSU rRNA". It matches the Rfam family "Bacterial small subunit ribosomal RNA", at positions 8 to 664 of the family's 1533-position model. Lineage: Bacteria; Deltaproteobacteria. The record is from RNAcentral.